This 497-nucleotide ribosomal RNA is filed under the name uncultured bacterium. Its description in RNAcentral is "partial 16S ribosomal RNA". It matches the Rfam family "Bacterial small subunit ribosomal RNA", at positions 28 to 507 of the family's 1533-position model. The record is from RNAcentral.
GAUGAACGCUGGCGGCGUGCCUAAUACAUGCAAGUCGAGCGAACGGACGAGAAGCUUGCUUCUUUGACGUUAGAGGCGGAGGUGCGAGUAACACGGGGACAACCUACUUAUAUGACUGGGAUAACUGCGGGACACCGGAGCUAAUACCGGAUAAUAUCUUGAAACUCAUUGUUCAAAAGUGAAUAACGGUCUUGUGGACAUUCAUCGAUGGAUGCGGGUUGCAUUAGGUAGUUGGUAGGGUAAGAGCUUACCAAGGCAACGAUGCAUAGCGGACUGGGGGGGGUGACCGGCCACAUUGGAACUGAAACAGGCUCCAGACUCCUCCGGGAGGCAGAGGUGGGGAAUCUUCGGCAAUGGGCGAAAGCCUGACGGAGCAACGCCGCGUGGUUGAGGAAGGUCUUGGGAUCGAAAGACUCUUUUAUUAGGGAAGAACAUAUGUGUAAGUGACUGUGCACAUUUUGACGGUACCUAAUCAGAAAGCCACGGCUAACUACGUG